This 837-nucleotide ribosomal RNA is filed under the name uncultured archaeon. RNAcentral's name for it is "bacterial SSU rRNA". It matches the Rfam family "Archaeal small subunit ribosomal RNA", at positions 21 to 859 of the family's 1478-position model. The record is from RNAcentral.
GGUUACUGUUAUCGGUGUUCGCCUAAGCCAUGCGAGUCAUAUGUUCUUCGGAACAUGGCGUACUGCUCAGUAACACGUGGAUAACCUGCCCUUGGGUCCGGCAUAACCCCGGGAAACUGGGGAUAAUUCCGGAUAACGCACAUAUGCUGGAAUGCUUUAUGCGUCAAAUGGAUUCGUCCGCCCAAGGAUGGGUCUGCGGCCUAUCAGGUAGUAGUGGGUGUAAUGUACCUACUAGCCUACGACGGGUACGGGUUGUGAGAGCAAGAGCCCGGAGAUGGAUUCUGAGACAUGAAUCCAGGCCCUACGGGGCGCAGCAGGCGCGAAAACUUUACAAUGCGGGAAACCGUGAUAAGGGGACACCGAGUGCCAGCAUCAUAUGCUGGCUGUCCGGGUGUGUAAAAUACACCUGUUAGCAAGGGCCGGGCAAGACCGGUGCCAGCCGCCGCGGUAACACCGGCGGCCCGAGUGGUGAUCGUGAUUAUUGGGUCUAAAGGGUCCGUAGCCGGUUUGGUCAGUCCUCCGGGAAAUCUGACGGCUUAACCGUUAGGCUUUCGGGGGAUACUGCCAGACUUGGAACCGGGAGAGGUAAGAGGUACUACAGGGGUAGGAGUGAAAUCUUGUAAUCCCUGUGGGACCACCUGUGGCGAAGGCGUCUUACCAGAACGGGUUCGACGGUGAGGGACGAAAGCUGGGGGCACGAACCGGAUUAGAUACCCGGGUAGUCCCAGCCGUAAACGACGCUCGCUAGGUGUCAGGCAUGGCGCGACCGUGUCUGGUGCCGCAGGGAAGCCGUGAAGCGAGCCACCUGGGAAGUACGGCCGCAAGGCUGAAACUUAA